CGUGCACCUGGCAACCGUGACGCCCGUGACGCACGCUCCGUCAUUCUUAAAUGGAAGAAGUUUGGAGUCCCCAAGUCUCUUCCUGGAGCCAGCCACCCGGCCAAACUGAGCAAUUGGGGGAGAAGGGCCUUGGUCAGGGAAGAACCCAAUGGUCACUCCGACAGAGCUCUAGAGUUCCUAUGUGUAGGGUUUGAUGAAGAGGGCCGUAUGAUCUGGAGACAUCAUUCAGCCUAUCCCAAUCAAUCCUGGAGAGAAGGUGGAUGUAAGUUAAAACACACAAACACACACAGUGGGAUUAUUUACUCAUUGCAGUGACUUCUGACAGAUGGGGAGGUUAAGGUGGCCAUUGAUGUUGGUCGUCAGGGAGGAUGAUCAGAACUGGGCCACAGUGGAGUCUGCCAAGGACAUAGCCCAGAUGAUGCGUGCAGCGGGUAACGAGCACCUACUGACCAUUCUACUAUACCCUGAUGCUGGACACCUCAUUGAGCUGCCCUGCACACCCCACUUCAGAGCCACUUCAGAGCCAGCAACUUCAUAGUGCCUCAAACACAACAGAAAGUGAUCAUGUUGUGUGGGGAGGGUACCCAAAGCAGCACGCCAAUGCUCAAGAAGACUCCCGGGAAAAGAGCCUUGGCUUUCUACGGCAACACCUGUACCCCAGCCAUGACUCUGUCGCUAAGGCCAAGCUAUGAUGUCACGCCCGAGAAGCCUCCAGGACCUAGUAUGAACGAGUCUCUCAUUCACUGUACUGUCUGAGUUUCAACCUGCCAAUAGUGUUAACACCUGUGCCUGUAACCUGUAACCUAACUGCCAUAGUACACAGAUGACUGAUUCCAUUUUUUGAUUCAUGAGGAAAUAUUAGGAAAUGUAUUGUCUAUGAUGUUUAUAAUAAAUCAGAGGAAGGAUAUGAGCAAUAUCUGUUGCUAUUGAGAGCAUGAGAGCGAUUUGGUAUGUUUCUUGCAGUUCUUCAAAAUACCACACGAGGGUAAUGUAUGCACGUAGUAUGUAGUGGUGGUCAAUGGAUGAGUCCUGGGGCUGUAUUCCAAACGUCUCAGAGUAGGAGUGUUGAUCGAGUAUAAGGAACCCCCUGUACAUUUAACCUAUUUCAUUAUGAUCUGAAAUCCAGAACUGAUCCUAGAUCAGCACUCCUGCUCUGAGAUGUUUCAUACAUAGGUUGCAGUCUAAACCAGGGUUU
Salvelinus sp. IW2-2015 is the source of this 1195-nucleotide long non-coding RNA. RefSeq lists it as uncharacterized. The record is from RefSeq and is a predicted model, not a curated record. NCBI's taxonomy places the organism in Eukaryota, Metazoa, Chordata, Actinopteri, Salmoniformes, Salmonidae.